This 497-nucleotide ribosomal RNA is filed under the name uncultured bacterium. Its description in RNAcentral is "partial 16S ribosomal RNA". It matches the Rfam family "Bacterial small subunit ribosomal RNA", at positions 28 to 507 of the family's 1533-position model. The record is from RNAcentral.
GAUGAACGCUGGCGGCGUGCCUAAUACAUGCAAGUCGAGCGAACAGACGAGGAGCUUGCUCCUCUGACGUUAGCGGCGGACGGGUGAGUAACACGUGGAUAACCUACCUAUAAGACUGGGAUAACUUCGGGAAACCGGAGCUAAUACCGGAUAAUAUAUUGAACCGCAUGGUUCAAUAGUGAAAGACGGUUUUGCUGUCACUUAUAGAUGGAUCCGCGCCGCAUUAGCUAGUUGGUAAGGUAACGGCUUACCAAGGCAACGAUGCGUAGCCGACCUGAGAGGGUGAUCGGCCACACUGGAACUGAGACACGGUCCAGACUCCUACGGGAGGCAGCAGUAGGGAAUCUUCCGCAAUGGGCGAAAGCUUGACGGAGCAACGCCGCGUGAGUGAUGACGGUCUUCGGAUCGUAAAACUCUGUUAUUAGGGAAGAACAAAUGUGUAAGUAACUAUGCACGUCUUGACGGUACCUAAUCAGAAAGCCACGGCUAACUACGUG